Molecule: ribosomal RNA, 460 nt
Filed under: uncultured bacterium
Lineage: Bacteria
Description: partial 16S ribosomal RNA
Rfam family: Bacterial small subunit ribosomal RNA
Source: RNAcentral
CCUACGGGAGGCAGCAGUGAGGAAUAUUGGUCAAUGGGCGAGAGUCUGAACCAGCCAAGUAGCGUGAAGGAUGACUGCCCUAUGGGUUGUAAACUUCUUUUAUAUAGGAAUAAAAUGUUCCACGUGUGGGAUUUUGUAUGUACCAUAUGAAUAAGGAUCGGCUAACUCCGUGCCAGCAGCCGCGGUAAUACGGAGGAUCCGAGCGUUAUCCGGAUUUAUUGGGUUUAAAGGGAGCGUAGGUGGAUUGUUAAGUCAGUUGUGAAAGUUUGCGGCUCAACCGUAAAAUUGCAGUUGAAACUGGCAGUCUUGAGUACAGUAGAGGUGGGCGGAAUUCGUGGUGUAGCGGUGAAAUGCUUAGAUAUCACGAAGAACUCCGAUUGCGAAGGCAGUUCACUGGACUGCAACUGACACUGAGGCUCGAAAGUGUGGGUAUCAAACAGGAUUAGAUACCCUUGUAGUC